RNAcentral lists this ribosomal RNA (398 nucleotides) under uncultured bacterium. RNAcentral's name for it is "bacterial SSU rRNA". It matches the Rfam family "Bacterial small subunit ribosomal RNA", at positions 358 to 773 of the family's 1533-position model. The record is from RNAcentral.
GGAAUAUUGGACAAUGGGGGCAACCCUGAUCCAGCCAUGCCGCGUGAGUGACGAAGGCCUUAGGGUUGUAAAGCUCUUUCACCGGUGACGAUAGUGACGGUAGCCGGAGCAGAAGCCCCGGCUAACUCCGUGCCAGCAGCCGCGGUAAGACGGAGGGGGCUAGCGUUGUUCGGAAUCACUGGGCGUAAAGCGCGCGUAGGCGGAUUAUCAAGUUGGGCGUGAAAGCCCGGGGCUCAACCCCGGAAUUGCGCCCAAAACUGGUUGGCUUGAGACCGAGAGAGGGUGGUGGAAUUCCCAGUGUAGAGGUGAAAUUCGUAGAUAUUGGGAAGAACACCAGUGGCGAAGGCGGCCACCUGGCUCGGAUCUGACGCUGAGGCGCGAAAGCGUGGGGAGCAAAC